UACGUAGGGGGCAAACGUUGUCCGGAUUCAUUGGGCGUAAAGAGCGUGUAGGCGGCCAGGUAGGUCGGUUGUGAAAACUGGAGGCUCAACCUUCAGAGGUCGACCGAAACCAUCUGGCUAGAGUCCGGGAGAGGAGAGUGGAAUUCCUGGUGUAGCGGUGAAAUGCGCAGAUAUCAGGAAGAACACCCGUGGCGAAAGCGGCUCUCUGGAACGGUACUGACGCUGAGACGCGAAAGCGUGGGGAGCGAACAGG
RNAcentral lists this ribosomal RNA (253 nucleotides) under uncultured bacterium. Its description in RNAcentral is "partial 16S ribosomal RNA". It matches the Rfam family "Bacterial small subunit ribosomal RNA", at positions 524 to 776 of the family's 1533-position model. The record is from RNAcentral.